GAUGAACGCUGGCGGUGUGCCUAAUACAUGCAAGUCGUACGCAUUCUCGUUUCUGAUUGACGGUGCUUGCACCUAAUUGACGAGACAUUGGAAUGAGUGGCGGACGGGUGAGUGACACGUGGGUAACCUGCCCAGAAGUGGGGGAUAACAUUUGGAAACAGAUGCUAAUACCGCAUAAAAGUCAAAACCACAUGGUUUUGAUUUAAAAGAUGGCCUUUGUGCUAUCACUUAUGGAGGGACCCGCGGCGUAUUAGCUAGUUGGUAAGGUAACGGCUUACCAAGGCAAUGAUACGUAGCCGAACUGAGAGGUUGAUCGGCCACAAUGGGACUGAGACACGGCCCAUACUCCUACGGGAGGCAGCAGUAGGGAAUCUUCCACAAUGGGCGCAAGCCUGAUGGAGCAACACCGCGUGAGUGAAGAAGGGUUGCGGCUCGUAAAACUCUGUUGUUAAAGAAGAACGUAUCUAAGAGUAACUGCUUAGGUAGUGACGGUAUUUAACCAGAAAGCCACGGCUAACUACGUGCCAGCAGCCGCCGUAA
This 540-nucleotide ribosomal RNA is filed under the name uncultured bacterium. Its description in RNAcentral is "partial 16S ribosomal RNA". It matches the Rfam family "Bacterial small subunit ribosomal RNA", at positions 28 to 523 of the family's 1533-position model. The record is from RNAcentral.